This 644-nucleotide ribosomal RNA is filed under the name Escherichia coli. RNAcentral's name for it is "bacterial LSU rRNA". It matches the Rfam family "Bacterial large subunit ribosomal RNA", at positions 614 to 1258 of the family's 2925-position model. The record is from RNAcentral. Lineage: Bacteria; Pseudomonadati; Pseudomonadota; Gammaproteobacteria; Enterobacterales; Enterobacteriaceae.
AAUGGGUCAGCGACUUAUAUUCUGUAGCAAGGUUAACCGAAUAGGGGAGCCGAAGGGAAACCGAGUCUUAACUGGGCGUUAAGUUGCAGGGUAUAGACCCGAAACCCGGUGAUCUAGCCAUGGGCAGGUUGAAGGUUGGGUAACACUAACUGGAGGACCGAACCGACUAAUGUUGAAAAAUUAGCGGAUGACUUGUGGCUGGGGGUGAAAGGCCAAUCAAACCGGGAGAUAGCUGGUUCUCCCCGAAAGCUAUUUAGGUAGCGCCUCGUGAAUUCAUCUCCGGGGGUAGAGCACUGUUUCGGCAAGGGGGUCAUCCCGACUUACCAACCCGAUGCAAACUGCGAAUACCGGAGAAUGUUAUCACGGGAGACACACGGCGGGUGCUAACGUCCGUCGUGAAGAGGGAAACAACCCAGACCGCCAGCUAAGGUCCCAAAGUCAUGGUUAAGUGGGAAACGAUGUGGGAAGGCCCAGACAGCCAGGAUGUUGGCUUAGAAGCAGCCAUCAUUUAAAGAAAGCGUAAUAGCUCACUGGUCGAGUCGGCCUGCGCGGAAGAUGUAACGGGGCUAAACCAUGCACCGAAGCUGCGGCAGCGACACUAUGUGUUGUUGGGUAGGGGAGCGUUCUGUAAGCCUGUGAAGGUG